AUGCCUUAAACUUAUGACUAAGGGAGUAAUUCAGGGUGAUACCUGAUUCCUCACUGCUAAUGUGAGAUGUAUUUUUGAGCAGAUAAAGGUUGCCCCUAAGGUUACGCAUCUACUUUGUGGGAUCCUUGGGAGUCAAGACCUGCCCG
This is a small nuclear RNA of Zalophus californianus (California sea lion), 146 nucleotides long. Its record names the gene U12. It matches the Rfam family "U12 minor spliceosomal RNA". From Rfam's summary of the family: Although the U12 sequence is very divergent from that of U2, the two are functionally analogous. Lineage: Eukaryota; Metazoa; Chordata; Mammalia; Carnivora; Otariidae. The record is from Ensembl.